This 497-nucleotide ribosomal RNA is filed under the name uncultured bacterium. RNAcentral's name for it is "partial 16S ribosomal RNA". It matches the Rfam family "Bacterial small subunit ribosomal RNA", at positions 28 to 507 of the family's 1533-position model. The record is from RNAcentral.
GACGAACGCUGGCGGCGUGCCUAAUACAUGCAAGUUGAGCGCUGAAGGUUGGUACUUGUACCAACUGGAUGAGCAGCGAACGGGUGAGUAACGCGUGGGGAAUCUGCCUUUGAGCGGGGGACAACAUUUGGAAACGAAUGCUAAUACCGCAUAAAAACUUUAAACACAAGUUUUAAGUUUGAAAGAUGCAAUUGCAUCACUCAAAGAUGAUCCCGCGUUGUAUUAGCUAGUUGGUGAGGUAAAGGCUCACCAAGGCGAUGAUACAUAGCCGACCUGAGAGGGUGAUCGGCCACAUUGGGACUGAGACACGGCCCAAACUCCUACGGGAGGCAGCAGUAGUGAAUCUUCGGCAAUGGACGAAAGUCUGACCGAGCAACGCCGCGUGAGUGAAGAAGGUUUUCGGAUCGUAGAACUCUGUUGGUAGAGAAGAACGUUGGUGAGAGUGGAAAGCUCAUCAAGUGACGGUAACUACCCAGAAAGGGACGGCUAACUACGUG